RNAcentral lists this ribosomal RNA (409 nucleotides) under Brucella melitensis. RNAcentral's name for it is "partial 16S ribosomal RNA". It matches the Rfam family "Bacterial small subunit ribosomal RNA", at positions 355 to 776 of the family's 1533-position model. Lineage: Bacteria; Pseudomonadati; Pseudomonadota; Alphaproteobacteria; Hyphomicrobiales; Brucellaceae. RNAcentral also lists the same sequence under 1 other name. The record is from RNAcentral.
UGGGGAAUAUUGCACAAUGGGCGAAAGCCUGAUGCAGCGACGCCGCGUGAGGGAUGACGGCCUUCGGGUUGUAAACCUCUUUCAGCAGGGACGAAGCGCAAGUGACGGUACCUGCAGAAGAAGCACCGGCUAACUACGUGCCAGCAGCCGCGGUAAUACGUAGGGUGCAAGCGUUGUCCGGAAUUACUGGGCGUAAAGAGUUCGUAGGCGGUUUGUCGCGUCGUUUGUGAAAACCAGCAGCUCAACUGCUGGCUUGCAGGCGAUACGGGCAGACUUGAGUACUGCAGGGGAGACUGGAAUUCCUGGUGUAGCGGUGAAAUGCGCAGAUAUCAGGAGGAACACCGGUGGCGGAGGCGGGUCUCUGGGCAGUAACUGACGCUGAGGAACGAAAGCGUGGGUAGCGAACAGG